AUAUAUCAACCUCUACAACUUUUGUUUGUUGAGUUGUUGGAUGUGGGGGCUCUUGCUGGCUUCUUUCUGAGGUCAGCUCCCCUGAAAUACAUUAGCGGAACAAUCCCCGUUCAUUGGUGUGAUAACUAUCUACGCUAUUGACGUGAAGUAGUUUGGCUUAUAACGGUCCAUUGACUUGGACAAAUUUUCAUUA
Molecule: unclassified non-coding RNA, 193 nt
Filed under: uncultured Cortinarius
Lineage: Eukaryota; Fungi; Basidiomycota; Agaricomycetes; Agaricales; Cortinariaceae
Description: sequence contains ITS2
Source: RNAcentral